CAACAAUAUAAAGACUAGGUUUUAGUAGUUUUCAAUUGACUCGGUAAUCUAAAGUUGAAAAUAAAAGGGGUUAUUGCCGAAGAGGUUAUGUUUUACCGAAUAUAAUCUUCUGGCUUUUAGGUAAAGAACUUAAAAGCUGUCAUCCUAACCAGAUGGAGUGCUAUGAUCAAA
RNAcentral lists this non-coding RNA (171 nucleotides) under Spirochaetaceae bacterium. RNAcentral describes it as "Lysine sequence". It matches the Rfam family "Lysine riboswitch aptamer". Rfam says of the family: Riboswitches are metabolite binding domains within certain messenger RNAs that serve as precision sensors for their corresponding targets. Lineage: Bacteria; Pseudomonadati; Spirochaetota; Spirochaetia; Spirochaetales; Spirochaetaceae. The record is from RNAcentral.